UUCAAUGUAUGCGAACGGGUAGAUUUAUUUGUGUUUAAUACUUGAAGAGUAUUGUUAAUGUUAUGCCAUUUGAUCGUAUAUAUGUUAUUGUAAGAAAAGACUGUUAUUGUAGAAGAUUAAGUAAUAAAGACUUUGUUUUUGCCACGCAUCUCAGUCAACACCUUUCUUAUUUUGUCUUCCUUUAAUAGGUAUGCCCCCUCCCUCGGGGUGUGGGCGCUACAAAUUUGGCGACCUUGCCAGGACGGCCAUCGUCGAAGGGACACGAGGACGAUGUGCUGUCCUAUGACACGAACAGUUGGAUCAAUCGAAAGAGAAGAGCAGCGAGCAAACGAUACAGGACCAGAAGACAGAGUGACGGAGAGAACCUGAUUUGACAAUGACAUUGGCUCAGCAUCACAGAAAAUGGGACGAGCUACAGAGAAGAGAAAAGGCUACCGUGCAGUACGCAGCAGGGUGCUACGGCAAGGUGAUAGGGCCCUGGUGCGAAGUCUGGCCCCUCCAGGUGGCCAAGGAAAGCUUCACCCUUACUGGGAGGAAAUAGAUGGCGGAGCAGUGAGUGGAGUCAAGGAUGUCCAGGGGUUCUCCAAGCCGCCAUCCUCAACAGCCCAGCCUCCAGCACCUUUCUAGUACCGGUAUGACCCACCAUUCUACCCUCAUCAAAUGCCUCUACAGAUGCAGACGCCGAUAGCCCACGAGCAACUAACCCUCUACCAACGUCAGAUGACAGAAGACCAGCUGAAAUUUUCCUAGCAAGCGAGUCCAUCAUUGAGGAAUGCCUCAAACUGAUUUUUUUUAAAUUUUUACAUUAGAUGCAUCGUUAUAUAGAAUCAUGUGUGCUAGCUGUUUAAUAAACCAGAAAUACGAGUAAUGAGAAGUACUAAGAUGAAACAAGUUGUAAAUCGUUUCAUGAAUUGUGGUGUAAUAUAAGGAAACAAGCGAUGACACUCGAUAGUGAUCAAUUGAUCUUUGUGAUAAAGUCUUCGGAAUGAGUCUCGAGCUUUCCAAGAAACCUUCACCGUUUGUCAGGCGCGCCCGUAGAAUGGGUUAAUGUUUCGCAAAGUUUAUUUGUAUGGAAGAAAAAGCCACGUAAUUCUGAUACGAUAUUAUGAUAUGUAAUUCUGAGACUUCAAGUACCUAUUAGGUUUCGCUAUAACAAGUUGCAACAAGUGUAUAUAUAUGAACUCGAUGUACUACAUGUAUUUCGCAGAAGAAUUGGAGCACGAUGAUCUGUCAGCGUUACAAGGACAUAGACUUUCAUGGACUUUGGUGAUAAGUCUCACCUCCUUGAUCGGUCCUAAGCUCAUGACGACAUUGAACUAGAACUUAAUGAACAUUAGAAAUGUUGUACUAUAUUAAUGAAUUGUUAUAAAUGUUUGAAAGUUGAAAUGUCCAGGAGACAUUUAUUUUUGGAGGGGAAGGUGUGGAGCCCCACAGAAUACCCCCCCCCCUAUUUUUUUGUAUAUCUUUGACUAUGUAUGUAUGACACAAGUAUAUUUCUAGCCCCCAUAUAGUCCCUCCUCUUAGUUAAUUAGGUACCCCCUCCUGCGAGAGUGGCCUCACCCACAACCAACCUAAACACACCAGCUGGGAUACCAGGAGUGGCUUCUCACUUUGUUUUUGCCACGCAUCUCAGUCAACACCUUUCUUAUUUUGUCUUCCUUUAAUAGGUAUGCCCCCUCCCUCGGGGUGUGGGCGCUACAAAUUUGGCGACCUUGCCAGGACGGCCAUCGUCGAAGGGACACGAGGACGAUGUGCUGUCCUAUGACACGAACAGUUGGAUCAAUCGAAAGAGAAGAGCAGCGAGCAAACGAUACAGGACCAGAAGACAGAGUGACGGAGAGAACCUGAUUUGACAAUGACAUUGGCUCAGCAUCACAGAAAAUGGGACGAGCUACAGAGAAGAGAAAAGGCUACCGUGCAGUACGCAGCAGGGUGCUACGGCAAGGUGAUAGGGCCCUGGUGCGAAGUCUGGCCCCUCCAGGUGGCCAAGGAAAGCUUCACCCUUACUGGGAGGAAAUAGAUGGCGGAGCAGUGAGUGGAGUCAAGGAUGUCCAGGGGUUCUCCAAGCCGCCAUCCUCAACAGCCCAGCCUCCAGCACCUUUCUAGUACCGGUAUGACCCACCAUUCUACCCUCAUCAAAUGCCUCUACAGAUGCAGACGCCGAUAGCCCACGAGCAACUAACCCUCUACCAACGUCAGAUGACAGAAGACCAGCUGAAAUUUUCCUAGCAAGCGAGUCCAUCAUUGAGGAAUGCCUCAAACUGAUUUUUUUUAAAUUUUUACAUUAGAUGCAUCGUUAUAUAGAAUCAUGUGUGCUAGCUGUUUAAUAAACCAGAAAUACGAGUAAUGAGAAGUACUAAGAUGAAACAAGUUGUAAAUCGUUUCAUGAAUUGUGGUGUAAUAUAAGGAAACAAGCGAUGACACUCGAUAGUGAUCAAUUGAUCUUUGUGAUAAAGUCUUCGGAAUGAGUCUCGAGCUUUCCAAGAAACCUUCACCGUUUGUCAGGCGCGCCCGUAGAAUGGGUUAAUGUUUCGCAAAGUUUAUUUGUAUGGAAGAAAAAGCCACGUAAUUCUGAUACGAUAUUAUGAUAUGUAAUUCUGAGACUUCAAGUACCUAUUAGGUUUCGCUAUAACAAGUUGCAACAAGUGUAUAUAUAUGAACUCGAUGUACUACAUGUAUUUCGCAGAAGAAUUGGAGCACGAUGAUCUGUCAGCGUUACAAGGACAUAGACUUUCAUGGACUUUGGUGAUAAGUCUCACCUCCUUGAUCGGUCCUAAGCUCAUGACGACAUUGAACUAGAACUUAAUGAACAUUAGAAAUGUUGUACUAUAUUAAUGAAUUGUUAUAAAUGUUUGAAAGUUGAAAUGUCCAGGAGACAUUUAUUUUUGGAGGGGAAGGUGUGGAGCCCCACAGAAUACCCCCCCCCCUAUUUUUUUGUAUAUCUUUGACUAUGUAUGUAUGACACAAGUAUAUUUCUAGCCCCCAUAUAGUCCCUCCUCUUAGUUAAUUAGGUACCCCCUCCUGCGAGAGUGGCCUCACCCACAACCAACCUAAACACACCAGCUGGGAUACCAGGAGUGGCUUCUCACUUUGUUUUUGCCACGCAUCUCAGUCAACACCUUUCUUAUUUUGUCUUCCUUUAAUAGGUAUGCCCCCUCCCUCGGGGUGUGGGCGCUACAAAUGUAAUUAU
Molecule: long non-coding RNA, 3190 nt
Organism: Strongylocentrotus purpuratus (purple sea urchin)
Lineage: Eukaryota; Metazoa; Echinodermata; Echinoidea; Camarodonta; Strongylocentrotidae
Exons: 3
Source: RefSeq, a predicted model, not a curated record